CGGAGGCCGGGGCGUGGCGCCAGCCGCCCCCUGGGGCUGAGGCCGCCUGGUUGGUCCCCGACUUUCGCCGGUACCCGAGUUUCUAAGCGUCCCGGAAGAUGUUGCAGAGUUAUUUGAGAGGCCCAGAAGACCAUGAUGUAAUUUUCAGAAAAGAACAGAAGAAAAUGUCUGAGAGAAACACAGAGAGAAAGAGCCAGUCCAGGACUUGUAUGUGGAAAUAGCUAGGGAAAUAGAUUAUAACUGGACUCACUCUGACCUUGGCCAGAGCAAACAGAAGAUGAAUGAGCCAGAGCCGAUCCCUGGCUUCUGAAUGAUAGAGCCAGCACACCGUAUACAACAUUCACCCUCCCCCGUCAGAGCUUUUGCCCCGGGCCUCAAUUCUUUCCUCCUGACUCUAGUUUUCUUCUACUUCUCACGGGCUGAGGGACUUCCUUUACAUGUUGGCCUGGAAUCUGGAUAUAAUUUUCUUAUUGGUGUUUGAAAGGUUUUCAUUAGCUAAAUAUGUAAUUAUACACAUAAAUAAAG
This is a long non-coding RNA of Suricata suricatta (meerkat), 525 nucleotides long. RefSeq lists it as uncharacterized. Lineage: Eukaryota; Metazoa; Chordata; Mammalia; Carnivora; Herpestidae. The transcript is spliced from 3 exons. The record is from RefSeq and is a predicted model, not a curated record.